This 597-nucleotide ribosomal RNA is filed under the name Aspergillus terreus. RNAcentral's name for it is "partial large subunit ribosomal RNA". It matches the Rfam family "Eukaryotic large subunit ribosomal RNA", at positions 1 to 599 of the family's 3401-position model. Lineage: Eukaryota; Fungi; Ascomycota; Eurotiomycetes; Eurotiales; Aspergillaceae. The record is from RNAcentral.
GUUGACCUCGGAUCAGGUAGGGAUACCCGCUGAACUUAAGCAUAUCAAUAAGCGGAGGAAAAGAAACCAACCGGGAUUGCCUCAGUAACGGCGAGUGAAGCGGCAAGAGCUCAAAUUUGAAAGCUGGCUCCUUCGGGGUCCGCAUUGUAAUUUGCAGAGGAUGCUUCGGGUGCAGCCCCCGUCUAAGUGCCCUGGAACGGGCCGUCAUAGAGGGUGAGAAUCCCGUAUGGGGCGGGGUGUCUGCGUCCGUGUGAAGCUCCUUCGACGAGUCGAGUUGUUUGGGAAUGCAGCUCUAAAUGGGUGGUAAAUUUCAUCUAAAGCUAAAUACUGGCCGGAGACCGAUAGCGCACAAGUAGAGUGAUCGAAAGAUGAAAAGCACUUUGAAAAGAGAGUUAAACAGCACGUGAAAUUGUUGAAAGGGAAGCGCUUGCAACCAGACUCGCUCGCGGGGUUCAGCCGGGCUUCGGCCCGGUGUACUUCCCCGCGGGCGGGCCAGCGUCGGUUUGGGCGGCCGGUCAAAGGCCUCCGGAAUGUAGCGCCCUUCGGGGCGCCUUAUAGCCGGGGGUGCAAUGCGGCCAGCCUGGACCGAGGAACGCG